This 533-nucleotide ribosomal RNA is filed under the name uncultured bacterium. RNAcentral describes it as "bacterial SSU rRNA". It matches the Rfam family "Bacterial small subunit ribosomal RNA", at positions 338 to 860 of the family's 1533-position model. The record is from RNAcentral.
CCUACGGGAGGCAGCAGUGGGGAAUUUUGGACAAUGGGCGCAAGCCUGAUCCAGCAAUGCCGCGUGAGUGAAGAAGGCCUUCGGGUUGUAAAGCUCUUUUGUCAGGGAAGAAACGGUGGGAGCUAAUAUCUUCUGCUAAUGACGGUACCUGAAGAAUAAGCACCGGCUAACUACGUGCCAGCAGCCGCGGUAAUACGUAGGGUGCAAGCGUUAAUCGGAAUUACUGGGCGUAAAGCGUGCGCAGGCGGUUGUGCAAGACAGAUGUGAAAUCCCCGGGCUCAACCUGGGAAUUGCAUUUGUGACUGCACGGCUAGAGUGUGUCAGAGGGGGGUAGAAUUCCACGUGUAGCAGUGAAAUGCGUAGAGAUGUGGAGGAAUACCGAUGGCGAAGGCAGCCCCCUGGGAUAACACUGACGCUCAUGUACGAAGACGUGGGAGGACAACAGGAGUAGAUACCGUACGGUAGUCCGACCGACCCGUAACCGAACUGUCUACUAGUUGUUCGGUCGUUAAUUAGUACGUUAGUACGUACGA